UACGUAGGGCGCAAGCGUUGUCCGGAAUUAUUGGGCGUAAAGAGCUCGUAGGCGGCUUGUCACGUCGGGUGUGAAAGCCCGGGGCUUAACCCCGGGUCUGCAUUCGAUACGGGCUAGCUAGAGUGUGGUAGGGGAGAUCGGAAUUCCUGGUGUAGCGGUGAAAUGCGCAGAUAUCAGGAGGAACACCGGUGGCGAAGGCGGAUCUCUGGGCCAUUACUGACGUGAGGAGCGAAAGCGUGGGGAGCGAACAGG
RNAcentral lists this ribosomal RNA (252 nucleotides) under uncultured bacterium. RNAcentral describes it as "partial 16S ribosomal RNA". It matches the Rfam family "Bacterial small subunit ribosomal RNA", at positions 524 to 776 of the family's 1533-position model. The record is from RNAcentral.